RNAcentral lists this non-coding RNA (115 nucleotides) under Chromera velia. Lineage: Eukaryota; Chromeraceae. The record is from RNAcentral.
AAAAGGGCAGAACGAAAGAAAAUUCAAGAAAGAAAAGGCACGACAAGCACCCUCAGCUCAUCCUCCUCCUUUCCAUUUCAAUCUUUCCUCUUUUUCUUUUUCUGAUUUCCUUCUG